UAAUACGGAGGGCGCAAGCGUUGUUCGGAUUUACUAGGCGUAAAGAGCGUGUAGGCGUCUUAGUAAGCCUUGUCUUAAAAUCUAUGGCUUAACCAUAGAAGGUGAUAGGGAACUACUAGGAUUGAGUUUAAGAGAGGAGAGUAGAAUUCCUGGUGUAGCGGUGAAAUGCGUAGAUAUCAGGAAGAAUACCUGUGGCGAAGGCGACUCUCUGGCUUAAAACUGACGCUGAGACGCGAAAGCGUGGGGAGCAAACAGGAUUAGAUACCCUGGUAGUCCACGCCGUAAACGAUGGAUAUUAGGUUUGGGAGGUAUCCAACCCUUCUGAGCCGAAGCUAACGCAUUAAAUAUCCCGCCUGGGGAGUAUGGUCGCAAGGCUG
Molecule: ribosomal RNA, 377 nt
Filed under: uncultured bacterium
Lineage: Bacteria
Description: bacterial SSU rRNA
Rfam family: Bacterial small subunit ribosomal RNA
Source: RNAcentral